AAUAAGUGUAGUUUUAACACUGUUCAUGCUCAAUUCGUCUUAUUUAAAAAACAAUUAUGAUUAGUAUUUUUGUUGUUAUUAGAUGAUAAUACAUAAAUAGUGUGACUAAUAUUUUUAAUUUUUUUCAUAAAAUUUUUAAAUAAGACGGACGGUCAAAACGAUGGACACGAAUAUCUAUGUCUGUAUUUAUU
RNAcentral lists this microRNA precursor (191 nucleotides) under Oryza meridionalis. RNAcentral's name for it is "MIR812 microRNA precursor family". It matches the Rfam family "MIR812 microRNA precursor family". The record is from Rfam by way of RNAcentral. Lineage: Eukaryota; Viridiplantae; Streptophyta; Magnoliopsida; Poales; Poaceae.